This 445-nucleotide ribosomal RNA is filed under the name uncultured bacterium. RNAcentral's name for it is "partial 16S ribosomal RNA". It matches the Rfam family "Bacterial small subunit ribosomal RNA", at positions 354 to 796 of the family's 1533-position model. The record is from RNAcentral.
GUGAGGAAUAUUGGUCAAUGGGCGAGAGCCUGAACCAGCCAAGUCGCGUGAAGGAAGAAGGAUCUAUGGUUCGUAAACUUCUUUUGCAGGGGAAUAAAGUGCGGGACGUGUCCUGUUUUGUAUGUACCCUGAGAAUAAGGAUCGGCUAACUCCGUGCCAGCAGCCGCGGUAAUACGGAUGAUCCGAGCGUUAUCCGGAUUUAUUGGGUUUAAAGGGUGCGUAGGUGGUUUGAUAAGUCAGCGGUGAAAGUUUGCAGCUUAACUGUAAAAAUGCCGUUGAAACUGUCGGACUUGAGUGUAAAUGAGGUAGGCGGAAUGCGUGGUGUAGCGGUGAAAUGCAUAGAUAUCACGCAGAACUCCGAUUGCGAAGGCAGCUUACUAAGCUACAACUGACACUGAAGCACGAAAGCGUGGGGAUCAAACAGGAUUAGAAACCCGAGUAGUCC